GACGAACGCUGGCGGCGUGCUUAACACAUGCAAGUCGAACGGAAAGGCCCUGCUUGCAGGGUACUCGAGUGGCGAACGGGUGAGUAACACGUGGGUGAUCUGCCCUGCACUUCGGGAUAAGCUUGGGAAACUGGGUCUAAUACCGGAUAGGAACCAUCUUUAGUGUGGUGGUUGGAAAGUUUUUUCGGUGUAGGAUGAGCUCGCGGCCUAUCAGCUUGUUUGUGGGGUAAUGGCGUACCAGGGCGGCGACGGGUAGCCGGCCUGAGAGUGUGUAAGGACAGAUGGGGACGGAGAUACGGCCCGGAGUCCGACAGGAGGCAGCAGGGGGGAAUAUUGGACAAUGGGCGCAAGCCUGAGGCAGCGAGGCCGCGUGGUGGAUGAAGGCUUUCGUGGUGUAAACUCCUUUCGCUAGGGACGAAGCGUUGUUGUGACGGUACCUAGAGAAGAAGCACCGGCUAACUACGUG
This 466-nucleotide ribosomal RNA is filed under the name uncultured bacterium. RNAcentral's name for it is "partial 16S ribosomal RNA". It matches the Rfam family "Bacterial small subunit ribosomal RNA", at positions 28 to 507 of the family's 1533-position model. The record is from RNAcentral.